This 439-nucleotide ribosomal RNA is filed under the name uncultured bacterium. RNAcentral describes it as "partial 16S ribosomal RNA". It matches the Rfam family "Bacterial small subunit ribosomal RNA", at positions 339 to 795 of the family's 1533-position model. The record is from RNAcentral.
CUACGGGCGGCUGCAGUGAGGAAUAUUGCACAAUGGGGGGAACCCUGAUGCAGCAACGCCGCGUGGAGGAUGACGCAUUUCGGUGUGUAAACUCCUUUUAUAUGUCAAGAAAAUGACGGCAGCAUAUGAAUAAGCACCGGCUAACUCCGUGCCAGCAGCCGCGGUAAUACGGAGGGUGCAAGCGUUACUCGGAAUCACUGGGCGUAAAGGACGCGUAGGCGGGUUGGAAAGUCAGGUGUGAAAUCCUACAGCUUAACUGUAGAACUGCACUUGAAACUUCUAAUCUAGAGUAUGGGAGGGGGAGAUGGGAUUAGUGGUGUAGGGGUAAAAUCCGUAGAUAUCACUAGGAAUACCUAAAGCGAAGGCGAUCUCCUGGAACAUUACUGACGCUAAGGCGUGAAAGCGUGGGGAGCAAACAGGAUUAGAUACCCCUGUAGUC